Molecule: long non-coding RNA, 1563 nt
Filed under: Olea europaea subsp. europaea
Lineage: Eukaryota; Viridiplantae; Streptophyta; Magnoliopsida; Lamiales; Oleaceae
Source: RNAcentral
AGAAAAUAGAGUGAGGAGAAGAGAGAAUAAGAGAGUGAUUUUGAGAGGGGUUUUUUUUUUUUUUUUUUUUUUUUUGUAAAUUCUCUUGUAAAAUUCUAUUCAAGUAAGAAAUAGAAUUAUUUUUCCUCUUCAUCUUCUCUUCUUGUGAUCGAAGAAUCACAACAAGUGGUAUCAGGGCGAGAUUUAUCAAUUGGCCCUUGUAAUUUUUGAUAUAGCUUCGAUUUUGAUAAAGCAUUUGUAAGCCAAGAUGUCAAUGGAGGAAUCUCAUCGGGAGCUAUGAUCAAGCUCAUCGCCACCAAUUACACACUGUGGAGCCCUCGGAUGGAAGACCUCCUCAAUUGUAAGGAUUUGUAUAACCCCCUAGAAACCAAAGGUCUAAACCCCGAUCGUACCAAGGAGACAAAGUGGAAGAUGCUAAACAGGAAAACUAUCGGUCAAAUUUGACAAUAGAUUGACCAUAGUAUCUUUCACCAUGUGGCACAAGAGACAGAUGCAUAUGCCCUCUGAAAGAUUCUGGAGGACAUGUACCAAGCCAAGAUCGCUUAGAACAAAGCCCUGUUGAUGAGGCGUUUGGUGAAUCUGAAGUUAAAGCGUGGAACUUCAGCUGCUGAGCACACUAGUGAAUUUCAAAGUUUGGAGAACCAAUUGUCAUCUAUGGAGAUGCCGCUCGGGGAUGAAAUGCAAGCUUUACUACUUUUAAAUUCUCUUCCUAAUAGUUGGGAGGCACUAGUAGUAUCUCUCAGCAACUCAACCACUAAUGGCAAAUUUACCAUGUUUAUGGUCAAUGAUGUCCUAUUUAAUAAAGAGGUCAGGAGAAAGGAUGUCGACACGGACUAGUCAUAUGCCCUUGUCACAGAGAAUUGGGGAAGACAACAAGGAAGCGUUAGGCAAGGAAGAGGUAGAAGCAAAAGUGGGGUAGAUCCAUAGAUGGAAGGAAGCCUACUUACAAGUGCUAUUAUUAUGGUAUGGAGGGCCACUUGAAAAAGAACUAUUGAAAAUUGCUACGAGAGCAAAGCUAGAACAGUUCGCAGCCAAAAAAUAAGGAAGAAGAGAUACUAGUCACUAUUUCUGGGGAUGUGGCUAUCUACUCCAUCCAUGAGGAGAAAUGUGUUUAUGUCUCAAACCAAGAUAUUUAGUGGAUAAUAGAUACAACAACAUCUUACCACGCCACUCUACGUAGAGAUUUCUUCACAACAUACAAAGCUGGCGACUUCGGUGCAGUGAAGAUGGGAAAUACCAGUUUUUCUAAGAUCGUAGGAAUUGGUGAUAUUCAGUUACAAAUGAACCUCGGGUGUAAAAUAACCAUGAAAGAUGUUCGACAUGUACCAGAUCUUCGGUUAAAUCUACUUUCGGAGAUAGCCCCUUGACAAACAGGGCUAUGUCAAUCAUUUUAGCAAUGACACAUGGAAAAUGAUGAAAUGUUCCAUGGUUGUCGCUCUAGGACAUAUAUGUGGCACUUUAUACAAGACUCAUGUGAAAAUGCAUAUGGAUAGCCUCAACGUAGUAGAACGUGAAGCUUCUCAAAAUUUGUGGCACCAAAGACUUGGUCAUAGGAGUGAGAAG